Molecule: ribosomal RNA, 393 nt
Filed under: uncultured bacterium
Lineage: Bacteria
Description: bacterial SSU rRNA
Rfam family: Bacterial small subunit ribosomal RNA
Source: RNAcentral
GAUUAACACUGGCGGUAUGCCUAAUACAUGCAAGUCGAACGGAAUUAAUCUUUCGGGAUUAAUUUAGUGGCGAACGGGUGAGUAACACGUGCUUAAUCUACCCUUAAAUCAGGAAUACGUACUGGAAACGGUAAAUAAUACCUGAUGUGUUUUUAAAACGCAUGUUUUAAAAAACAAGCAACUUCUGGUUGUGUUUAAGGAUGAGAGCGCGUCGCAUUUAGAUUGUUGUGGGGUAACGCCUACCAGUUAAUGAUGCGUAGCUGAACUGAGAGGUUGAACAGCCACACUGGGAUUGAGAUACGGCCCAGACUCCUACGGGAGGCAGCAGUAAGGAAUUUUUCACAAUGGGCGCAAGCCUGAUGAAGCAAUACCGCGUGAUUGAUGAAGGUUUUC